GAUGAAGAACGCAGCGAAAUGCGAUAAGUAGUGUGAAUUGCAGAAUUCAGUGAAUCAUCGAAUCUUUGAACGCACAUUGCGCCCCCUGGUAUUCCGGGGGGCAUGCCUGUCCGAGCGUCAUUACAACCCUCAAGCUCAGCUUGGUGUUGGGCCCCGCAGCCCCGGCGGGCCCUAAAGUCAGUGGCGGUGCCGUCCGGCUCCGAGCGUAGUAAUUCUUCUCGCUCUGGAGGUCCGGUCGUGUGCUCGCCAGCAACCCCCAAUUUUUUUCAGGUUGACCUCGGAUCAGGUAGGGAUACCCGCUGAACUUAAGCAUAUCAAUAAGCGGAGGA
RNAcentral lists this unclassified non-coding RNA (329 nucleotides) under soil metagenome. RNAcentral describes it as "partial contains 5.8S ribosomal RNA, internal transcribed spacer 2, and large subunit ribosomal RNA". The stretch from base 1 to 120 matches the Rfam family "5.8S ribosomal RNA", at positions 35 to 154 of the family's 154-position model. The record is from RNAcentral.